AGACCGAUAGCGAACAAGUAGAGUGAUCGAAAGAUGAAAAGCACUUUGGAAAGAGAGUCAAAUAGCACGUGAAAUUGUUGAAAGGGAAGCGCUUGCAGCCAGACUUGCCUGUAGUUGCUUAUCUAGACUUUUGUCUAGUGCACUCUUCUGCGGGCAGGCCAGCAUCAGUCUAGGCGGUUGGAUAAAGGUCUCUGUCAUGUACCUCUCUUCGGGGAGGCCUUAUAGGGGAGACGACAUGCAACCAGCCUGGACUGAGGUCCGCGCAUCUGCUAGGAUGCUGGCGUAAUGGCUGUAAGCGGCCCGUCUUGAAACACGGACCAAG
This 322-nucleotide ribosomal RNA is filed under the name fungal sp. CL104. RNAcentral describes it as "LSU rRNA". It matches the Rfam family "Eukaryotic large subunit ribosomal RNA", at positions 331 to 670 of the family's 3401-position model. The record is from RNAcentral. Lineage: Eukaryota; Fungi.